Molecule: non-coding RNA, 102 nt
Filed under: Bacillus sp. (in: firmicutes)
Lineage: Bacteria; Bacillati; Bacillota; Bacilli; Caryophanales; Bacillaceae
Description: Bacillus sp. Guanine sequence
Rfam family: Purine riboswitch aptamer
About the family: Riboswitches are metabolite binding domains within certain messenger RNAs that serve as precision sensors for their corresponding targets. Allosteric rearrangement of mRNA structure is mediated by ligand binding, and this results in modulation of gene expression. A class of riboswitches that selectively recognises guanine and becomes saturated at concentrations as low as 5 nM.
Source: RNAcentral
CAAACAAUCUAAUAAUUAACUCGUAUAAUAGUGGGAAUAUGGCCUACAAGUUUCUACCAAGCUACCGUAAAUGGCUUGACUACGAGUGAUACUUUAAAUUUU